Molecule: long non-coding RNA, 302 nt
Filed under: Heterocephalus glaber (naked mole-rat)
Lineage: Eukaryota; Metazoa; Chordata; Mammalia; Rodentia; Bathyergidae
Description: lncRNA (ENSHGLG00100041666.1)
Source: RNAcentral
AGUGCCCCGAGAAGGGCCGAGACUGCUGGCCCAGGAGUCCUGCAUUCAUCCUCGCUCUGCCACCUGUUGCUGGGCAACCUUGAACAGGUUACUUCAUCUCUCUGUGCCUCAGUUUCACGGCUCUCUGAAGGAGCCGGACCCUCUCCCACUCCGGCAUUACCUCUCCCUGGAACUCCUCGCACACAGCCCUCCCCCUGCUCAGCCUGGUGAAGCUGGCUUUUCCCUUGGGCCUCAGCGUCAUAAAACAGGUCUCUCUCUCUCGACCCUCUUUUCUAAGAAAGGUCCUGCUGCUGGACUUUACC